AAUAUUCUACAAUGGGGGCAACCCUGAUUCAGCCAUCCCGCGUGUGUGAAGAAGGUCUUCGGAUUGUAAGGCACUUCAAGUUGGGAGGAAGGGCUUUAGGCUAAUACUCUUAAGUUUUUACGUUACCGACAGAAUAAGCACCGGCUAACUCUGUGCCAGCAGCCGCGGUGAUACAGAGGGUGCAAGCGUUAAUCGGAAUUACUGGGCGUAAAGCGCGCGUAGGUGGUUCAGUAAGAUUGGUGUGAAAUCCCCGGGCUUAACCUGGGAACUGCUUUCAUAACUGCUGAGCUAGAGUACGGUAGAGGGUAGUGGAAUUUCCUGUGUAGCGGUGAAAUGCGUAGAUAUAGGAAGGAACACCAGUGGCGAAGGCGACUACCUGGACUGAUACUGACACUGAGGUGCGAAAGCGUGGGGAGCAAACA
This 422-nucleotide ribosomal RNA is filed under the name uncultured bacterium. RNAcentral's name for it is "partial 16S ribosomal RNA". It matches the Rfam family "Bacterial small subunit ribosomal RNA", at positions 360 to 774 of the family's 1533-position model. The record is from RNAcentral.